AUGGGUUCUGUGGGGGAUCAACCUGUUUCUGCACGCACUGCCUUGGCAUACAUGGAAUCAGGUGGCCAUAUUUCACAUGCUUUGUCCGUGUAUAGCUGUCAACUUCGCCAACCCAACCAGGUGAAGAAACUAACUGAGAUACUUAAAAAUGUAUUCCAUGAAGUCAGCAGGUCCCUCGAUUUGUCCUUCGCUGAUGAUUCUACUGCCCAGGAAAAGAUCACAUUCCUAGUAUACCUAGCUAGUUUCUUAAAUGCGACCAAGCCCAAUCCUUGUCAACCUCCAGCUGGAUGUUUGAACUUCAGGAAACUUGUUGCUGAAUUUAUGAAGAGCUACCACCACAUCCCAUUAAAUCCUGAUAAUUUUGUUGUAUUCCCUUCCCGUGCGGUGGCAGUCGAAAAUUAUCUUCGACUGUUCUCACCAGCGCUUGCAAUUGUUGAUGAACAUUUGACCAGACACUUGCCCAUGCAAUGGUUAGGAUAUUCAGAAAUCGAGGGAAGAAUAGAUUGCAACAAUGCUGAAGGCGUGAUCACUGUAAUUGAAGCACCACGCCAAUCAGAUUUACUGAUUGAGUUGGUCAGAAAACUGAAGCCUCAGGUUGUCGUUACUAGCAUUGCCCAGUUUGAGGCUAUCACCAGUGCUGCUUUCUCGAACAUACUAAGCGCAACAGAAGAUGUUGGUUGCCGGUUGUUCCUAGAUAUUUCAGAGAACCUGGAGUGGUCUUGUCUGCCAAGCUCAAAUGGUGUGUUGAAAUAUCUUAUUGGAAACACCCUACCUUCGCAUGCUUUCUGUGAAGGAGACUUAUAUACCAUUUCGUUUAUUCUGAUCUGGAAGUUGCUUUUGCCAUUUCUGAGGAUGCUUCUGUCUGCAAGGCAUUGUCACAAACAAUUGAGCUAUUGGAAGGAAAUACUUCUGUGA
This 915-nucleotide ribosomal RNA is filed under the name Triticum aestivum (bread wheat). Its description in RNAcentral is "partial small subunit ribosomal RNA". Lineage: Eukaryota; Viridiplantae; Streptophyta; Magnoliopsida; Poales; Poaceae. The record is from RNAcentral.